This 196-nucleotide ribosomal RNA is filed under the name Vibrio alginolyticus. Its description in RNAcentral is "partial 16S ribosomal RNA". It matches the Rfam family "Bacterial small subunit ribosomal RNA", at positions 1347 to 1533 of the family's 1533-position model. Lineage: Bacteria; Pseudomonadati; Pseudomonadota; Gammaproteobacteria; Vibrionales; Vibrionaceae. The record is from RNAcentral.
GAUCAGAAUGCCACGGUGAAUACGUUCCCGGGCCUUGUACACACCGCCCGUCACACCAUGGGAGUGGGCUGCAAAAGAAGUAGGUAGUUUAACCUUCGGGGGGACGCUUACCACUUUGUGGUUCAUGACUGGGGUGAAGUCGUAACAAGGUAGCGCUAGGGGAACCUGGCGCUGGAUCACCUCCUUAUACGAUGAU